CAGCGCCAUAGCCACCAUGGAGCUGGAUAAGGAGCAGCUGUCAGUGUGACCACAAAGCCAGAGGGGCUGCACUUCCUGCACGUCACUGGUUAACACACUGAGAAAUAAAGCAAGGAAUAAGGCAGAUGAAAAAUCUAAAUAUCACCAAUAUUGCUGAUAAAGAUGUGAUCUUCUAUUCACCCGUCUGGACUUUUCAUGCUUUGCUGUUGGGCUACACUGCUUGUCAAAGCUCCUAAUGUAGCACUGUUGCAUAAAAUGUGAUCACAAAGUGCACAUUCAUCGAUUGGCUAAUGUUUUAAUGCAAUUUAUCCUGGGAUCCCAAAAGAUAUGUGGCGAUAAUAAUCUGAUUCUCCUCUCCCUCCUGGGCAAAAGGAAACAUGUACUUCCCGGUCCCUCUUGCAGAACCUUGGGACUAAGUCUGGCCUGUACGCUGUGAGUAGGGCUGAUCUGUCACUUGCAGGCAGGGGCAGUGAAAAGCCCCUGUGUUACUGUGGAGGGCACAGGUGAAAUGGUGGAGACGCCAGAAGGCACUGCCCUAAGUCCAGGUGCCAGGAGGGUUACCUGAUGUUCACUGGAUGUGUCAUGUGAGCAAGAAAUAAACGGGUGUUGUGUUAAGUCACUGGCAUUUUGAGCUUAAUUUUUUUCAAUGUCACAACUGAGCCUCUGUUGACAAGUUGUAGUGGAGGUUGUGAUGCAUCACCUAGACCUCCACCUCUGGGAAGCUCGCUCACUUCCAAAGUAACUGGCUGCUGGCUGUUCACAGCCGAAU
This is a long non-coding RNA of Myotis myotis, 769 nucleotides long. RefSeq lists it as uncharacterized. NCBI's taxonomy places the organism in Eukaryota, Metazoa, Chordata, Mammalia, Chiroptera, Vespertilionidae. The transcript has 3 exons. The record is from RefSeq and is a predicted model, not a curated record.